This 475-nucleotide ribosomal RNA is filed under the name uncultured bacterium. RNAcentral's name for it is "bacterial SSU rRNA". It matches the Rfam family "Bacterial small subunit ribosomal RNA", at positions 26 to 518 of the family's 1533-position model. The record is from RNAcentral.
AGGACGAACGCUGGCGGCACGCUUAACACAUGCAAGUCGAACGGAGUAAUGGAGCUUGCUUGAUAACUAGUGGCGGACGGGUGAGUAACACGUGAGCAACCUGCCUUUAAGAGUGGAAUAGCUUCUGGAAACGGAUGGUAAUACCGCAUAACAUUGCCGGACCGCAUGAUCUGGCAAUCAAAGAUUUAUCGCUUAAAGAUGGGCUCGCGUCUGAUUAGAUAGUUGGUGGGGUAACGGCCUACCAAGUCGACGAUCAGUAGCCGGACUGAGAGGUUGAACGGCCACAUUGGGACUGAGACACGGCCCAGACUCCUACGGGAGGCAGCAGUGGGGAAUAUUGCACAAUGGGCGGAAGCCUGAAUGCAGCGAUGCCGCGUGGAGGAAGAAGGUUUUCGGAUUGUAAACUCCUUUUAUCAGGGACGAUAAUGACGGUACCUGAAGAAAAAGCUCCGGCUAACUACGUGCCAGCAGCUGC